Acanthosepion pharaonis is the source of this 93-nucleotide non-coding RNA. The record is from the annotation of a GenBank genome assembly. NCBI's taxonomy places the organism in Eukaryota, Metazoa, Mollusca, Cephalopoda, Sepiida, Sepiidae.
CGUAAACACCUGUUCUCGUGCGAUCACCGAAGUUAAGCAACUUCGAGCCUUGUACGUACCUAGAUGGGUGACUGCUUGGAAAGACCAAGUGCU